CCUACGGGGGGCAGCAGUGGGGAAUAUUGCACAAUGGGGGAAACCCUGAUGCAGCGACGCCGCGUGAGUGAAGAAGUAUUUCGGUAUGAAAAGCUCUAUCAGCAGGGAAGAGAAUGACGGUACCUGAGUAAGAAGCCCCGGCUAAAUACGUGCCAGCAGCAGCGGUAAUACGUAGGGGGCAAGCGUUAUCCGGAUUUACUGGGUGGAAAGGGAGCGUAGACGGCGAAGAAAGGCUGAAGUGAAAGCCCGCGGCUCAACCGCGGAACUGCUUUGGAAACGUUUUUGCUGGAGUGCCGGAGGGGUAGGUGGAAUUCCUAGUGUAGCGGUGAAAUGCGUAGAUAUUAGGAGGAACACCAGUGGCGAAGGCGGCCUACUGGACGGUGACUGACGCUGAGGCUCGAAAGCGUGGGGAGCAAACAGGAUUAGAUACCCCUGUAGUC
RNAcentral lists this ribosomal RNA (440 nucleotides) under uncultured bacterium. RNAcentral describes it as "partial 16S ribosomal RNA". It matches the Rfam family "Bacterial small subunit ribosomal RNA", at positions 338 to 795 of the family's 1533-position model. The record is from RNAcentral.